Molecule: unclassified non-coding RNA, 339 nt
Filed under: soil metagenome
Description: partial contains 5.8S ribosomal RNA, internal transcribed spacer 2, and large subunit ribosomal RNA
Rfam family: 5.8S ribosomal RNA (bases 1-120)
Source: RNAcentral
GAUGAAGAACGUAGCGAAAUGCGAUAACUAAUGUGAAUUGCAGAAUUCAGUGAAUCAUCGACUCUUUGAACGCACAUUGCGCCCCCUGGUAUUCCGGGGGGCAUGCCUGUCCGAGCGUCAUUGCUGCCCUCAAGCACGGCUUGUGUGUUGGGCUCCGUCCCCCCGGGGACGGGCCCGAAAGGCAGCGGCGGCACCGAGUCCGGUCCUCGAGCGUAUGGGGCUUUGUCACCCGCUCUGUAGGCCCGGCCGGCGCCAGCCGACAACCCAUCAUCCUUUUCAGGUUGACCUCGGAUCAGGUAGGGAUACCCGCUGAACUUAAGCAUAUCAAUAAGCGGAGGA